GCCUGGGUGGCUUAGUCGGUUAAGCGUCCGACUUCGGCUCAGGUCAUGAUCUCACGGUCUGUGGGUUCAAGCCCCGCGUCGGGCU
RNAcentral lists this transfer RNA (85 nucleotides) under Felis catus (domestic cat). It matches the Rfam family "tRNA". From Rfam's summary of the family: Transfer RNA (tRNA) molecules are approximately 80 nucleotides in length. Their secondary structure includes four short double-helical elements and three loops (D, anti-codon, and T loops). The record is from Rfam by way of RNAcentral. Lineage: Eukaryota; Metazoa; Chordata; Mammalia; Carnivora; Felidae.